Piliocolobus tephrosceles (Ugandan red Colobus) is the source of this 876-nucleotide long non-coding RNA. RefSeq lists it as uncharacterized. The record is from RefSeq and is a predicted model, not a curated record. The transcript has 8 exons. NCBI's taxonomy places the organism in Eukaryota, Metazoa, Chordata, Mammalia, Primates, Cercopithecidae.
UGGCCUGUUGCGACUGGGACAGUGGACAGCACCCAGGUGUCCUGUAAUUAAAAUGCUCUUGACACCAAUGCAUCCUAGCAUCAGAGCUUCGGGAAGCCUUCUCAAGUGUGCAUGGGGAGUACCAUGUCUUUCAUCAAUAAUGAAACUUUCUAAUGUCUUGUAAGACAUGCUGCCAAGAGACGUGCCAUUCUGUUAUAAAAGAUCAGUAGCUUCCUUUAUUGACAGGUAUAUUCUACAUAGAACAUUGAGCUACGGAAGACUCCCACCUAAGGGAAUUAGUUUACCACUUUCAGAUAAAGACUGCUGAGAAGAGCACCCUCUGGUGUUGCCACAGAGGCAAGUGCUACCACACAGGCAUGCUGCAGUGAAUUUAACUCAUCCUGUGUUCCUGCAACCGUUGUUUAAGGAUGCUAUUCUGAAAAGACUGUGGAGGAAGAAAACCCUUUACUCUGUUGUUCAGGGAGAAACUGACACCACUCAACUGCCUGGCACUGAAAAUGUGGCAUCCAGUCCACUUUACCACCAGUGUUUAAGGAAACCAUCUCUGAUAAGGAUGAUUGAGGAAGACUACUCUUUGGCUUGCUGACAGCAGCACAGCUGACACACCCAGAUAUCUGUUUGGUCUCCUGUGAACUUUCAACCAGGAUUUAAGGAUGCCAUUCUGGUUAAAAGCUCAAACAACUUCAAGGAAACUUCAGGGAAAAGAGAAGGCCUGGAGUCUGAUCCUCCACUUCAGAGAAGAGGGGUCAGCUUACUGUAUGAUUAAGUAACACAAGGCACAGUAGCCAUCUUUUUCAUUAUGUUGCAACACUGAUCACGUGCCUCGAUAAAAUGGCUGAUUCAACAAGAUGAUGGCAACACGAAGGGGAGACUUUG